CAGGUCCUACGGGACGCAGCAGUGAGGAAUAUUGGUCAAUGGUCGGGAGACUGAACCAGCCAAGCCGCGUGAGGGAUGAAGGUACAGAGUAUCGUAAACCUCUUUUGUCAGGGAACAAAGGCGGGGACGCGUCCCCGGAUGAGUGUACCUGAAGAAAAAGCAUCGGCUAACUCCGUGCCAGCAGCCGCGGUAAUACGGAGGAUGCGAGCGUUAGCCGGAUUUAUUGGGAUUAAAGGGUGCGUAGGCGGAAUGCCAAGUCAG
This 261-nucleotide ribosomal RNA is filed under the name uncultured bacterium. RNAcentral's name for it is "partial 16S ribosomal RNA". It matches the Rfam family "Bacterial small subunit ribosomal RNA", at positions 333 to 591 of the family's 1533-position model. The record is from RNAcentral.